GUUUCUAUUGAGCUCCAAUGGGAACUCCAAAACUCAAAUUCUUUAAAGGAGGAGAGGCUGCAGAAUUUUCCAAAGAACAGGCAGUUAGUUGAGUUUAGGAGACACACAGCCAGGAGCUGUGCCCGACCAGAGGGCCCCUGACACCAGAGGGUGCUCCCCACUCCCUCAGAGGGACCAGAUGCCUCCACGGCCAUGUUUAGCAAAACCUCAAUUUUGGGCGCCCCACAUUUUCCCUUUGAAAGCAUAAUCUCAAGGGAGAGGCUGUGCUUGGAGAAGCCAGAGUCAUCCGACAGCCUGGAACAGCAAGGGAGGCUGGGAAAACGCCAAUGUCUGCCAAUCAGGAACAUACGAACUGCACUAUGGGAAACUCCCCAACACAGGGUGAGCAUUCAGAAGAUGUUGGGCAGCCUCGAACUUCCUCCAGAGCCCCUUCCAUGGUCCAAUUUGCAUCGAGGUUAGCCUUCCCCAGCGGGAGGCUGGAGUUGGAACCAGGCCAGGAGGGAAUAAAACCUUGGGGAAUUAGUCAAACCCACUUCACCUGCCUUCAGGAACCAAGGUCAUGGACAGAAGACUUGCGUGUCCUCCAGCGGCACUUAGCCUAAUCGAGGUGUUUUCCAGGGACUUGGAAUCAGCUGUGCCCAGUUCUAGCUGAGCUGGUUGAGACUGGAUGAGACCACGGACCCUCCAACUGGGCAUGCGCCGGUGUCCGCUCAGUGACCUUCCAAAAGUGCAGAGGCCUGUAGCCUAGUUACACCUGCGCAGAACGACAAUGACACCUUUUUCCAAUUACCUUUCCCCAUGCAGCCCACGCCCCCCCCAUGCCACAGACCACCCCGCUUCUUAAUUCGUUAUCCCAUAAAUACCCCAGCCCCUCGCCUGUGGGAGGCGAAUAUUCAGAUUCUUUUCAUGUCUCCUCGUUUGGCUGCCUUGCAAGUUCAACCUGCUUUUUACUGCAAACCUUGGCAUCACAGCAUUUUGGCCUGCUGAGCAUCAAGCAAAAGGAAGCUAGUUCAGAAGCAAUAAACGAUGGCAAGAGAUGAUAGGGACAGAAUUGGGCCAGUGGUGGCCAAGAUGCAGGAAAGGGGCUGGAUCUGGGAAAGCUUUAGGAGGCAGGCUCAGCUAGGAUUUGAAAAUGAGGGCACUCAAGUGAAACCAAAGAGAUGGCCAACGUGUGAAAGCAUCAUAAUCCCACAUCAGGCAAAAGUGAUGGCAUCAGGAAAAAGGACCAUCAAGAGGGUGGCUCUUUCAGGGAGGGAAGUGGGGGUGAAGGGGGGACUCUAAGUGUUGCAUUCACGGCACGUUGGUCUUCCAACCUUUGCAAAAGCUAUUCUCCUGAGGCAGCCUUCUUUUAUUCUCGGUUAUUGCUUUUCGGGGACAUAAUUGCUACAGAGACUUGGCAGGGGUGGGCGCUGGGGUCCUAGAGGGGGCUGAGUCUGUGGCGUGUUCAGCAUUUAAUCCCAGGGUCUUGGCAUAAGGGCUCCCCACGUUGGGCAUUCGGUGACUGCUGGACUAGAGCAUCAAGAAGGUCCCUUUGACUAGCGAAAUAAGAAAGGGAAAAAGCAUUCUGUGUCCUUAGCCCUCGUUUAAGCAAGGGUGUUCUUGAGCGUGAGCAACAGCCUCCGGCUUCACUGGAUGUUUUAUCUGCACCAGGAAGGCAGCUGAGGGAUUGGGAGUGGGGCAGAGCCAUCAGGAAGGUCCUGUUCGCCUCAACUCUUGACCACACUUUGAACCCGUGGAAAGAUUUGAAAGUCUGGCUGUAAAAUGGGAGCGGAGAAGGCGAGGGAAAGAGAGGAGUUCAAAGUCUGACUCUUGUUUACCAGCGGUAAACACCCAGGCAAGUUUAUUUAGCCUCACGCGUCUCAGAGGCUUUGAAACAACAGGCGACAGAACCUUUCUGCGCUGAGGGUGAGAUGGGUCCAAACACGUGCGCACUUAGAAGAGAGAGACCCAUGCGGUAAACACGCUGCUCCGUGAACCCUGAUUCUCGCGAGAUUUUCUGCAUUAAGUCAGCCAAGCGGACCGCAAGCCAUGCUUUUGGGAUUUUGCCCCUGGUCUUCCCUCCCUCGCCUGGAAAGCCUUUCCUUCCGACUCUUCCAUGCAAUUCCUUCUCAACCUAUAGGUUUCAGCUCCAAUGUCCCCUCUUCUGACCACUUAACCUAAAAGCCCCUCCCACCAGGCAGCCCGUUUAAUGUCUUCAGGGGACUUCAGGCACAGACUCUUCCCCAAUAUCCUCUGUUUUAGGGCCUCUGUAAAGUACCCAGAUGACAGUAUCCAAUGCACGUUUCCUGAGUUGUUUUCCCGAUGCUAAAACCCCCACCAAAUGGAAGAAGUUCACCGCUUGAUGAUCGUGAGCUCCCAGACCUACUGGCGCCUAAGAAUUGAUCAGGUUAAUCCCUGUUCCCGCGCCAUCAACUAGUCGGAACUGUGCCUGAGCAGGUCACAUACCCUGGGACUCCUUUCCCUCACCUGGCCUUUAAAAAUGCUGUCCUGAAACCCACCGGGAGUUCGAGCUUUUUGAGCACUAGCGGCCUCAGACUCCUUGUCUCUGCCUUGCAAUAAACGCGACCCUUUGCUUCACCACCGCCAGGUGUCAGUAGACUGGCUGUGCUGUGGGGCCAAUGGACCCAAGUUUUGGUUCAGUAACAAGCCUACAGGCAGGCGCCCUGCCCCCUCAUUCCUUGAGGUACAGAGAAUGUGUUUUCCACUGUCCUCUGGCCGCCUCCACAUUCUUCCGUCUUUGAGUUCAAGCAUGUGGUGUUAGGAGGAUAACCCUGUGUCUUUGCCCUGAAGGCCUCCCCAUCUCGUGGUGGUAGGGGUUGGCUUUUCCCUUUAAGAACCACUCAACCCUCCCCCAUUCUCAGCCGCCAUCACUGGGGUGGGGCUGCCUCCAUCCCUGACUGCAGAAGAGAACCGGGGAUUUUUGGUACCAGGGGAAUCUAGGCCGGGCCAGCUUGAAUUUGAGUUGAUGGGUUUGCUGGAGAGAGGAAAGAAAAGCAGAGAGAUGGAAUGCAAAAGCAGACUCCUGAGUCCAGCUGUGCCUGAAGCCCACUUUAUCCCUUGAGGCUUUCCUCCCAUGAGUCAAUGGACUCCUUCUCAGCCUGCACCAGUUAAAGAUAGGUUUCUGUCACUUGAAAGAUUUCUGCUUCUGGAUCAGAGACGCCCACGGGGGAAAGGUCAUGGGGAGAGGCACAGUUCCCAUCACAGUGGGCUUCCCCCAGGGUUCCACUGCACUAGGUCUGCUGUUGGAACAGCUCAUCACCCCAGCAGUGCCCCAGCCUCAGCUCCUGGUCCUCUUCCUGCUUGAUAUAUUUCUUGAGAAUCUUCUGAGCCCCAGGACACAUGGGGAGGCUGGGAGGACAACUCAAAUAGCCACAAAGAGGCUGGAUGUGAAAGCAGACGCUACUGUUUCCAACACUAACGCUGGGGAGGGGGUGGCCUGCGGGCAGACUGAUGAGUUGGGGGUGGAUCCGAGCCUGGUGCAAUGGGUGGAAUUUGAGUAGACAGCAAACAAAAAGCGUAGAAUAAUGCCGAUCAAUCGGCUUCCCCUUCUGAUAACUAAUGACUGUUUAAUCCGUACUAUGUCAGGCAUCUUUAAAGAGAUUUAUUUAGAUUAACUUGCUUAAUCCUCACAACUAUUCUGGAAGGGGCCAGUAAACUGAUUUUCUACAGCAUGAAACUGACAUGGAAAAAAUGAAGACAUUUUCCAAAGUCAUAAUACCGCUGGGGGACAAGUACAGGAUUUGAACCCAAGCUGUUCCUAGCUGCCUCCGUCACCCAGGCCACCGUCCCCUUCCCGCUGUGCUCAAGGGCAGACACACUGAUCCUUGGCCUCCUAGUCUAGGCCUGUCUGACUCGCAGUAAGGGUUCUAAUUUUUUCUAGGGGCCAAGGACUCCUGAGACAAAAAUUCCUGCCCUCCUGCAGCUUACAGUCCAGGUGGAUAACUGACAAUACAGGGAUCAACAGACAUAGGCAAGAUGCCAGCUGUGACAAACAUGAUGAAGAAAAUAGUGCAAGGCAAAGAGAUAAAGACUAUUUUAGUGCAGUUGGGAAAGGAGGCCAAUUUUUAGGAAAGAUCUACAUGAGGCAAGCUCUGUGAAGACUGGAGAGAAGACUGUUUCAGGCAGAGCGACCAUCACGUACUGAGACAUGGCAGAGGGACCAAGCUGGGUGUGUCCCUGGAAGAAGAGAUGUGACUGAGCAGCAGCCGAGGGUGCAGAGCAGGGCUGGGAAGAUCUGAUGAGCAUCCAAAGACCACCCCCGACCCCGACCCUGGCAGCAGUGUGUCUAACAGACCUUUGAGGCUACAUGCUCAUUCCUGGAUCUUUCUCAAGACCAGGGAGAUGCGACCCUCAUAGGCUGAGGUCUGAGUCGAGCAGGGGGCAAAGGUGGUUCUCCAGAGAAAUACCUGGCACCUGGAAGGAAGAUGAGCGGAUUCCAGAUGGCUGAAGAAAUGGGGUUCACUCCGGGAGCUCCUGGUCUGCUCUCAAGGAUCGCCUCCAGGAACCCGCCCAAUGUCCACCGCCCCGCUUCUUCCUUGUAGACACGCACAUGGGGCCAGUGCUGGCACCACAAAUCUGUCCCUGCCUGCUGCUUGCUACCCACACAUCUGUCUUGCCUUCUCUGAUGGCUCAGAGGUUUGCAAACACGUGUCCUGGGCCAGAUGCAGCCCACGCAGGCUGUUUUCAUCCAGCCCCUGAAUGAAAAUGAUUUUUAUGCUAUACACACACAAGAGCAGGUGAUAAAGACCACACCUGGUCUGUGAAGCCUAAACUAAGCACAAUCUAGCCCGUUGCAGAAUGUUCGCUGAUCAAAAGCCCUUUAGGAAGGGCCUUUUGUUCCAUCUCUGCAUCUCUAACGGGAUAGGUUCCAAUGGCAACAUCUGAUUGCGUCAGCCUGGAGUCAGCCCUCUUUGAUCACUAAAUGCUGUGUUUCAGAGAGCACGUGGAGGAUCCAGUCCUGCCAGCUGGGUUUCCAUACAACGGCCAGAGUGAAAGGGGGGUCGGGACAGGGAAGGGGGACUACCCUUUGUCCCUGCUCAGCACCCACUCUGCUUCUUUGCAUCACGGUGGGGGGGUCCAUUUGCCAACACCCCGCCCCACCCCAAAGUUCUUGUAGAAAACCUGAAACUCCCCCCGCCCAGGUAAUAUGUCCAUUUUCCCUCACCAGCCAUUUAAACAGCGUCCCUGGCUCCCUCAUCCCAAAGCCAAAGAUAGACAACAGGUGUCCCCAUUUUUCUACCAACAUUUCCCAACUUCUGGCUUAGGAAACUAAGCAAACUAAGGCUCUGGUUCGCUGCUGUUGUUUUUGGCAGGGCUCCAGGAAGAAGCUGAAUCCCUGCAUGUGACUUGAAAGGCGAUUGUCUCCGGAGAAGCCUAUCUUCCUUCCCACCUUGAACUUGUGGUUGCCUGAUGUCUAGAGUGCUUUGUGAACAAAUAAAGAGGAAAGGAAAACACAGCAAAUUCAAAUGCUGUACAUCCCCCCCGCCCCCCAUCCCCCAAACUCCAUAUUAAAAGUUCAGCCCUGAGAAGGGCUGGUUUUCUGAAUACAAACCUUUAUGAAAACCCUCUAAGAUGUGUUCUCUUAUCAACACCCCCAGAUAAUUUAUUUGGAUAUGAACGAGGGUUUCAGCCUAAGAGGGGAAAAAAAAAAGUUAAACAUCUCUGAAAAUAAAAUUCCCAUUCAUGCUCGAAGUUUACAUUCCUAACAUUAUUUCCAUGUGCCUGUCAGAGCUGGAAAGAGGAAGGAAAAAACCCCGGAGCCUUCAGACCAAGGCUUUGCCUGUCGUGUAUUUUUAUGGGCAGGCAGUGUCUGCCGCCACCUCUGGGGAAUGGGCUUCCAGCACUCACCUCCUGCGGGGAUUUGGGAUUCGA
This is a non-coding RNA of Sus scrofa (pig), 5871 nucleotides long. NCBI's taxonomy places the organism in Eukaryota, Metazoa, Chordata, Mammalia, Artiodactyla, Suidae. The record is from RefSeq and is a predicted model, not a curated record.